This is a long non-coding RNA of Cyprinodon variegatus (sheepshead minnow), 225 nucleotides long. RefSeq lists it as uncharacterized. The transcript is spliced from 3 exons. Lineage: Eukaryota; Metazoa; Chordata; Actinopteri; Cyprinodontiformes; Cyprinodontidae. The record is from RefSeq and is a predicted model, not a curated record.
UCAGCAAUCAGCUCCAAUCAUCUCCAGCUGCUCUGAGGAUCCUAUAAAAGCAGCUCCUGCAGGUUGGAGUCUCUAUCAGGGGGAUCUGAGGUCUAUCUUUCACUAGCAGCAGAGCAGCACUAUGAGAAUGUUGUGGAUUUCUUUCCUCCUGAUUGGAAGCAUCACCUGUGCUCCUCAAACUCCAGGUAGUCAAGAUGAACAGCUGCCAUGGUGGUAUAAAGAUCC